RNAcentral lists this ribosomal RNA (502 nucleotides) under Tegillarca nodifera. Its description in RNAcentral is "partial small subunit ribosomal RNA". It matches the Rfam family "Bacterial small subunit ribosomal RNA", at positions 676 to 1363 of the family's 1533-position model. The record is from RNAcentral. Lineage: Eukaryota; Metazoa; Mollusca; Bivalvia; Arcoida; Arcidae.
UAUGUAUGGGAAAACUAGCUCGGGGGGUUUCAUCCUAAGUGCUAGCAGGACCUAUCAGGAAGGUGAACUAUGUAACCGGGGCAGAGGACCGGGAUUAGAUACCCCGUUACUCCCGGUGUCAAGUACAGCGGCUAUUAUUAGAGCUAUGUAUGCGCUUGCCGGGCAACUACGUCUUAACAGGUAAAAGUCGAAGUACUUGGCGGUCUAGCGAUGAACCAGCCCGUGAGACUUGACGGUUAAUCCGAUGAUCCGCGUAAAUUCUACUCUUUCUUGAAUUCUCAGUUGGUGUAUGGCCGUCUAGUGCUAUCUGAAAGGAAGUUGCGCCAAGCCAUUGUUUGUACGAGUUUAUAAUUUUAGUAUAAGCGGAUGGAGUAAUUCAGGUCGUCAUGCCGCUCACGAAGGAGGCUUAGUUGAGUCACAUUGAUGAGAUCAAGCGGAACCAAGUAGGAAGUGGCUUGGGGAAGAAGUAAUGGGUAGUAAGAAGAGAAUAAUUCGCUUUUCU